UUCCAGAAUAUAAAGGAAGAGAUUUUUAUAUUUCAGGAGAAAGCUAUGCUGGGCAUUAUGUUCCUCAGCUAAGUCAAGCUAUUGUGAGGCACAACCAUGGUUUGAAGAAGCAAGUGAUCAAUUUAAAAGGUUUCAUGGUUGGAAAUGCUUUGACUGAUGACUAUAAUGAUCACUUAGGACUAUUUCAAUUCAUGUGGUCAGCCGGAAUGAUUUCUGACCAAACAUACAAGCAGGCGAAUGCUUUGUGCCACGACCAAUCAUAUUUUAGACCCUCAGAGCAGUGUGAUAAGAUUCUUGAACAGGCUAAUGAAGAAAUCGGAAAUAUUGAUAGCUACAGCAUCUUCACUCCAGCAUGCACAGCUAAGUUUAGUAUACUAAACCACUUGCUCAGAAAGAGCAACAGCGUAGGCCAUCUCAG
This 418-nucleotide unclassified non-coding RNA is filed under the name Hevea brasiliensis (rubber tree). Lineage: Eukaryota; Viridiplantae; Streptophyta; Magnoliopsida; Malpighiales; Euphorbiaceae. The record is from RNAcentral.